GAAGCCUAGAAAUCAGCCACCUCGUCAGCUAUUCUCUUAACUUUAUCUCUUAUUAAAACCCUAAUCCGUUUCCCACCAUCAUCGGCUUCCCUUUCUCUCUUUCUCCCGACUCUAAUAUAUUCACCAGCACGAUUUCUGCCAUCGCCUUUCUUUCACCAUCACCUAACACAAUGGUCCUUUGUUCUUUCUAAAAACCCUAGAAGCCACUCAGUCAUUUGCUUCCCUCCCUGCUGUUUGAUACUUCCGAUUGGCUUCACUUAACGUCGUUGCUUCCCUCUUGUCAUUUUUGCUUCACACAGAUUUGGUACUUUUGAUAUCCUGAUGCUUUUCUUGAAAAAAAAUUGAACGCUUAUUUUUUUUACGGUUUCAGAUCAAUGAAAAACGAUUUCAAGCAUCCUUAUCUUCACAAUAGCCUUACAGAAGAAACUAUGGAACAAGCAUUGAAGCCGAACACAAUAGCAUUUUUUCACUUUUUGGAGACCAGAUCAGCAAGCUGAGAAUGUGAGAAAACAUGUUGAUCUACAAGUGGAAGAAUAUUGGGGUGAAAAAGGUUUUGCAUCUUAGCAACGAAAAUUGAAUCUUCUCACGUCCAACAACUCGUGCUAUUGGACCUUAUGCCAAAAAUCAUUACUUUGUGGCAGAAAAAAAAUACUACAUAAUUGGUUACCAAUUGCGGGAUUGUUCUUUUUGCUAUCUUAUGUAAAAAAGAGUAAGUACGUUGCUAUUAUUUCUUAAUCAAUGUAAGUAUAUUGCUAUUAUAGUUAAGUUUUUCUCAUGUAAAUGAUAAUUAUACUCAACUUAUAACAAGUAUUACAAAUUGAAAUUCA
Lactuca sativa (garden lettuce) is the source of this 827-nucleotide non-coding RNA. The record is from RefSeq and is a predicted model, not a curated record. NCBI's taxonomy places the organism in Eukaryota, Viridiplantae, Streptophyta, Magnoliopsida, Asterales, Asteraceae.